CGAUGCAACGCGAAGAACCUUACCUGGGCUUGACAUCCCGAGAAUCUCCUGGAAACAGGAGAGUGCCUUCGGGGAACUCGGUGACAGGUGCUGCAUGGCUGUCGUCAGCUCGUGUCGUGAGAUGUUGGGUUAAGUCCCGCAACGAGCGCAACCCUUGUCUUUAAUUGCCGUCAUUCAGUUGGGCACUUUAAAGAGACUGCCGGUGUCAAACCGGAGGAAGUGGGGAUGACGUCAAGUCCUCAUGGCCUUUAUGCCCAGGGCUACACACGUGCUACAAUGGCCGGUACAAAGGGCAGCGACACAGCGAUGUGAAGCGAAUCCCGAAAAGACCGGUCUCAGUCCGGAUUGGAGUCUGCAACUCGACUCCAUGAAGUUGGAAUCGCUAGUAAUCGCGGAUCAGCACGCCGCGGUGAAUACGUUCCCGGGCCUU
Molecule: ribosomal RNA, 430 nt
Filed under: uncultured Syntrophus sp.
Lineage: Bacteria; Pseudomonadati; Thermodesulfobacteriota; Syntrophia; Syntrophales; Syntrophaceae
Description: bacterial SSU rRNA
Rfam family: Bacterial small subunit ribosomal RNA
Source: RNAcentral